RNAcentral lists this ribosomal RNA (292 nucleotides) under uncultured bacterium. Its description in RNAcentral is "partial 16S ribosomal RNA". It matches the Rfam family "Bacterial small subunit ribosomal RNA", at positions 505 to 796 of the family's 1533-position model. The record is from RNAcentral.
GUGUCAGCAGCCGCGGUAAUACGUAGGGUGCAAGCGUUAAUCGGAAUUACUGGGCGUAAAGCGUGCGCAGGCGGUUAGAUAAGCCAGAUGUGAAAUCCCCGAGCUCAACUUGGGAACUGCGUUUGGAACUGUUUAACUAGAGUGCGUCAGAGGGGGGUGGAAUUCCGCGUGUAGCAGUGAAAUGCGUAGAGAUGCGGAGGAACACCGAUGGCGAAGGCAGCCCCCUGGGAUGACACUGACGCUCAUGCACGAAAGCGUGGGGAGCAAACAGGAUUAGAUACCCUCGUAGUCC